CGGCCAGACUCCUACGGGAGGCAGCAGUGGGGAAUAUUGCACAAUGGGGGGAACCCUGACCCAGCGACGCCGCGUGAGGGAAGAAGGUUUUCGGAUUGUAAACCUCUGUCCUUGGUGACGAUAAUGACGGUAGCCAAGGAGGAAGCCACGGCUAACUACGUGCCAGCAGCCGCGGUAAUACGUAGGGAGCAAGCGUUAUCCGGAUUUACUGGGUGUAAAGGGCGCGUAGGCGGGAUGGCAAGUCAGAUGUGAAAUCCAAGGGCUCAACCCUUGAACUGCAUUUGAAACUGUCGUUCUUGAGUACUGGAGAGGUUGACGGAAUUCCUAGUGUAGCGGUGAAAUGCGUAGAUAUUAGGAGGAACACCAGUGGCGAAGGCGGCCUGCUGGACGACAACUGACGGUGAGGCGCGAAAGCGUGGGGAGCAAACAGGAUUAGAUACCCCUGUAA
Molecule: ribosomal RNA, 448 nt
Filed under: uncultured bacterium
Lineage: Bacteria
Description: partial 16S ribosomal RNA
Rfam family: Bacterial small subunit ribosomal RNA
Source: RNAcentral